AGAAAUAAUGCUAUUUGGGUUACUGUUGCGCUUUUGCUGUUUGGCACCAAUGAAUCUGACCUAGUAGCAGAAACAAAUGACAUCCAUGCACAUUUAGCAACAGGAUAUACAGGUAACUGAAGCUCCAAUUUCUGUGAUGCGUGUAUACGGCUUAAGCUUGAAAACAUCUGGAGGAGAGCCAUUGGGAAGUGUCAAUCCAGGUCAGCCAAAGGUUUUCUC
Lolium perenne is the source of this 219-nucleotide non-coding RNA. Lineage: Eukaryota; Viridiplantae; Streptophyta; Magnoliopsida; Poales; Poaceae. The record is from RefSeq and is a predicted model, not a curated record.